AUGGGUACCGACAACAGCGGGCAGAUCAACUACGAGGAGCUCAAGGCUGUUCUGGAGCAGGUGGGUGCAAGGAUAGUGUGUGGGAUUUCCAGUAGAAGAGUAUCUUCAGAGAUGGCUCUUCUUGGCACCGCUAUCUCUGGUGUGAAUGUCCUUGCCAUGCCCAUUUUAGUGCCAGACACAAUACAGGAGAGUAAUGUUAUCAGGUCAUACUCUUGUGGAAGGAUCGGCGCAGCAGAGCUUCGAAGGAGAUCCAGGUGUUCUUCUCCAUCCUUCAACAAGCGGAUUAUUCUUUGUGCCAAUGCAUAG
This 306-nucleotide ribosomal RNA is filed under the name Triticum aestivum (bread wheat). RNAcentral's name for it is "partial small subunit ribosomal RNA". The record is from RNAcentral. Lineage: Eukaryota; Viridiplantae; Streptophyta; Magnoliopsida; Poales; Poaceae.